GAUGAACGCUGGCGGCAUGCCUUACACAUGCAAGUCGAACGGCAGCACGGGAGCAAUCCUGGUGGCGAGUGGCGAACGGGUGAGUAAAGUAUCGGAACGUGCCCAGUCGUGGGGGAUAACGUAGCGAAAGUUACGCUAAUACCGCAUACGAUCUAUGGAUGAAAGCGGGGGAUCGCAAGACCUCGCGCGAUUGGAGCGGCCGAUAUCAGAUUAGGUAGUUGGUGGGGUAAAGGCUCACCAAGCCGACGAUCUGUAGCUGGUCUGAGAGGACGACCAGCCACACUGGGACUGAGACCCGGCCCAGACUCCUACGGGAGGCAGCAGUGGGGAAUUUUGGACAAUGGGCGAAAGCCUGAUCCAGCCAUGCCGCGUGCAGGAUGAAGGCCUUCGGGUUGUAAACUGCUUUUGUACGGAACGAAAAGGUUUGGGCUAAUAAGCUGAGCUCAUGACGGUACCGUAAGAAUAAGCACCGGCUAACUACGUGCCAGCAGCCGCCGUAA
Molecule: ribosomal RNA, 500 nt
Filed under: uncultured bacterium
Lineage: Bacteria
Description: partial 16S ribosomal RNA
Rfam family: Bacterial small subunit ribosomal RNA
Source: RNAcentral